GCAAAGCAAUCUCCUCCUGCAUAAACGGCGAUCUUAGGAUUGGAGCUACGGGAUAGGGACAUUUCUCUCUCCUGUUGCCAGAAGGACCCGUCUAUAGAGCCCACACUAGAAAAGGCCAUUUGCAAAGAGAAAAAGGAACAGGUACUAGAACAGGGCCACAGUCUGCACAGAAGAACCUGCCUGAUGGGAAACAUGGGGACUGGAUGAGGAUGCAGCAGGCCAACUGAGGAUUCCUUCCCAGAAUGGUAUCCCCCAAGAGCCGUUGUUUCCUGCUGAUGCUGACCUCGGAAAAUUCAGACAAUAGAGAUAAGCAGAAAGGGGGAAAAAGGCACUGGUAGUCCUCCCACUCGAAGACUUAGCUCCAAGAGCGCCCGACAGCUCCUGCUUCCCAGCAGUCACAGCCUUGUGUUGCACCCUCCCACAUGCGGUCAGGGAUGGCUGAUGGUAUAUGAUGAACGUGACCAAAGGUAACUUCUGAGGCUAGAUCAUGAAUGACACUGCAGCUUCCACCUAUAACCAGGGUUUUCAACAGCCAUGC
Molecule: long non-coding RNA, 538 nt
Filed under: Rhinopithecus bieti (black snub-nosed monkey)
Lineage: Eukaryota; Metazoa; Chordata; Mammalia; Primates; Cercopithecidae
Description: lncRNA (ENSRBIG00000045556.1)
Source: RNAcentral